UCUGUCUGUGACUGUCCCCAGUGUGAUUAUUUUGGACCCACCUGGAUAACCCAGGAUAAUAUUCCCAACUCACAAUGCUUAACACAUCCUCAAAGUCCCUUUUGCCAUGUGAGGGAACGUGCUCACAGGUCUGAGGGAUUGGAACAUGGACAUCUCUGAAGGGCCCUUAUUCUGUCUUUCUACAGAGACUCUCAACAAAGGGAUAACAUCUGAUCUACCUUAGAGAACACGAGUGCACGAGUUGGGGGAAGAGAAGGAAGAUCAACAGAGACCAUUCCAAUAGAGCAGUGAGCAAGCAGAGGUGCACUUGACCUUGACUGCUAUCCCUGAAGAGAUAAGAGGAAAAAGUGAUUGAUUCUCAGACUAUCCAACCAAACUGGUUCUACUGAUUCCCAGUAGGGUGCUUUUUCAGCCAUCCCAGGAUCAGACUUUGUAGGAACCACCAGGGUCUGUAUGACUGUUCUGAAAGGAAGAGGCCAGGACUGGAAUGGAGGAGAAGAAGGAUAAGACUAAGGCUCUGGUCUGAUGUAGUAAGUCAAAGAAUGACCGCCCUGAGAUUUCCAGUCCUAACCCUGGACUUUGUAAAGGUCACCUUUUCUAGCUUUUACCCUUGGGGAAAAGGGUCUUUGCAGGUGUGAGUACACUGAGGAUCUUCAGAUGAAAAGUUACCCUGUAUUACCAGCGUGGGCCACAACACCAUCACUGCUAUCUUUAUCAGAGAGAGGCAAAGGGAGCCAACACAGGCACACAAAGGGGGAGCUGGGGUGCAGAUGUGGCCGCAAGACAAGGAAUACUGCCAGCUGCCAGCGGCUGGAAGGGGUGAGGAGCAGAGUCUCCCUUUGAGCCUUUGAGCUUCCAGAGAGAGCGCAGCCCUACCCACCGCUUGAUUUUAGCCUUCUGGCCUCCAGAACUGCCUAUCUCUAUUGUUUUAAGAGGAUAAUUCGAUCGGGAUAAAUUUCUACUGUUUUAAGCCAUCCAGGUUGUAGUCAUCUGUUCCAGCAACCCCAAGAAAUUGAUACACCUAGCGUGGACAAGAUUGUAGCCUACAGUCUGACCCAGAUGCCAGUAAAUCGACCAAACUGGAUUCUGGAAGCACACCUUCCAAUGUGGGGCGCCCCAGGCAAGCACAGGCAGGGGUGAAAUCUCACUCCUAAUUGUCCGGGGAACAAGAUGAAAAGAAACUAAGAAGGCCGUCCUAGCAACCAGAGGACCCGGAUGACUUUAAGCCCCUUCCCCAUUCGCGCUGUCCCCACCGGCAGGAACCAGGAGCAAGGACCCCCCACCUCUGUGGGCGUAGCCCUCGUGCAGGGCCCCUGAAGACAGCUGUUGCUCUGUAUGGUUCAGGCCCGGGGACCGCUCACCUCCCCCUCAAAGUACACCCACCUGGGGCUGGCUCCAACUCCUUUAUGUCUGAUGCAGCAGAGAGUGGUGGAAAGCUACAGAGAAUGGACAAAACUCACAGACCAUCUGUUCAUCUUCUGUGUUUUGUGAAUUUAUUUUCAAAUGUUAAGCAUUUGAUAGCAGUUGUCAGGCAUUAUCUCCAAAGCUACCAUUUGGAUAAAGAUAUCCUCUUAAAUAUCCAGGAGAAUCACUCAAAGAUCAGUGAUUCUCCAGGGUUUGGAAGAAAGGAUUUCAGGAAGAAAAGCCAGACCAAGUCUUGCUGAAAGGACGGUGUAGGAAAUGGAGAAAUUUCUCAAUCGAGAAUCACAGGCUCUGGGAUGAAAGCCUAUGGAUAUCUCCUGGCCUUGGAGCCAGGCAGAUAAGCCAAGUGCAUGAAGCAUUCCAGGGGGGAAAAUCACAAGUGUUGUGAGCCAAGAGUUUUUGACUGGAAGAGUACCUUGUCCUGUCUGAUGUGAGCAACCACUGUGGUGUCCUCUCCCAGAGACAAUGUGCGGGAAUACAGGCCGGUUCUCACCAAGGCGAAGUCCACAUUAGCCUCAUAUAAACCGCAGGAGCUGGAUGUUAUCAUUCAACCCAUUUUUAUGGACGAUAAAGCAGAAUCUCGAGGUUCCAAGGAACUUGAAUAAGGUCAAACAGCUGUCUAUGCCUUCAAGCAGCUUUUCUGGGGAGAGAGUGUUUGCGCCCACACUGGCAAAUCUGAGUCCCUGGCCACGCGCCGGCUGCGACGGGGCUGUUGCCAUGACCACCCACCCCAGCACCUGGAACCCAGCCUUUAGAGGGGCUCACUUGAGAGCCGCAUGAACGUUUUUCAGGUUCAGAACUGUACUCAAGGAGUUAAGUUGUCCAGAGGCGCACAGCUAGGAUGCCACAAGACCAUGGAUUGUCAUGGAUUCCCGGUCCAACGUGUAUGAAUUGAGCUCCUACCAUGUGCCCCACACUGUGCUGGACUCUGGAGACACUGCGGAGAAGACUUCGUGCAUGCGGACUCCAGGGCGGCAGGCGGGUGGUAAGGAAACAGACAAGCAAGCGAGUCAAUAAAUAACAGCAUUGCUGUGUGAGCCUUGCUGGGAAGAGCAGUGAGGCUGGUAGGAGCCAAAGAGCUGCCUUCAAUCCCCUCCGAGGAAGUGGCCUUUGUGGGAUGUGCAUCCCGGGCAGCAGAAACACCCAGAGGGGAGCCAGGGUUGGGCGAAGGACCUGGCACAUUCAAGAAGCAAAAUAAAGACAACAGCCUCGAAGUGAAUGAAAGAAAACAGGGUGCGAGAUGAAGACAAAGAGGGAGGUGAGGCCAGACUUCACACGGCCCUGUUGACCAAGGUAAAGAGAACAUAGGUCUGUUCUAAGAAACAUGGGAAAUGUGGAAGUUUUUGCUUUUUCAUUGGGUAGUGACAGGAUCUGGUUAACUUCUAAAAAAGUGGCAUUUCUGGCUGUUCCAUGGACCCACCUGAGGGGGCGACACGUAGGCCAGGAAACUACUCAGCGUUGGCCAAAGGGCAUACAGUUGGACCUUGUAACCCUGAACUUGAACUGAACACCAGACCCUUGGGAUCCGAGACUUGAACUGCUUGGCCUGACCAGAGCACUCUAUCCUGAGCGAGAAUUCUCUCGACUCACGCAACGGGCUUGACGAACCCGCGUGUGGAAAAGCCCAAAUCAUAAGGUUCUGAAUUCAGGAUGAGAGAGUGGGCCAGGGGCAUGGGAAGGAGAGGGUAGCCACAAUAGUUUCCAUUAGUUAAUUUAAAAAAUUAUCAAUUAAAAGUGCAAUGUGCAAUUCAUGCUGGAACACCAGAAAAUCUUGAUGAAAUUGAUACUUCUCUGGAAAACAGUCAUUAGCAUUCUUUCCUAGUAUAAUAUAAUCUUAAAUAAAGGAGCAUAGUGAUUAUUAAGAGGGCAGGCUCCCCCAUCAGAUGGAUAUGGGUUCAAAUCCAGCCUCUACUGCGUACUAGCCGUGUAAUCUCAGGCAACACUCAAUUUCUUCCCUUGUAUCUUUUUUUUUUAAUUUUUAAUUUU
Molecule: long non-coding RNA, 3408 nt
Organism: Lynx canadensis (Canada lynx)
Lineage: Eukaryota; Metazoa; Chordata; Mammalia; Carnivora; Felidae
Exons: 6
Source: RefSeq, a predicted model, not a curated record